Erpetoichthys calabaricus (reedfish) is the source of this 713-nucleotide long non-coding RNA. RefSeq lists it as uncharacterized. NCBI's taxonomy places the organism in Eukaryota, Metazoa, Chordata, Cladistia, Polypteriformes, Polypteridae. The transcript is spliced from 4 exons. The record is from RefSeq and is a predicted model, not a curated record.
GACCCUGCACAAUCUGCAUUUUUUUACUUUGCGACACGAGUCCCCAUCCGAUUUGUCUCGCGCACGUGCUCUCUGCUUAAUUAAAAUUCAUUUCACGACGCUGCCCGAUUUGUUCUGUGCAUGUCUAAUGUUUUACAACACACGUCAUUCGUCAGGUUUGACUUGUACUUGCGAGUCAUUUUUGUGUUGUCGUUUAUCUCUGUCUGUAAGUGGACUUGUUACUGGAAAAGAUGGAAAGUUUUGAAUUUUAUAACGUCUUGGAAGAUGUGUCGCCUGAAAAAUUUAACUUCAGUCGAAUGAACAGGGAGCGAAAUGAAAUGCGACGUGUGUCUGUGAACUUUAUAAUGGACAUGUACAGCUUUUUGAUGCCCAGUGGUAACCAGCCUACCAUGUGGCUCAACAGAUGCCAGUGUCCCCGAAUACUGAGACACAAUUGGAUGUUCUUUUCUUCUGCUUUUAAGAUUCCCAGUUUGGGAUAAUGUGCAGUUCAUGUUAGAUUUGCUAUUUCUACAGUUACAGUGAAGUAGAAGAGUCCGGUCGUGUUAUGGGGCAGUAGUUAAAGAAGAAGGACAGAGAGAUGUGUGCCAUGUUGAAGUAGCGGCUGGUCCUCCUGCCCGCUCUUCUAGAAUCCUCCAUCUAAACCUCUGCUCUGAUCUGCUGUGCCUUUGCCAAGUGAUCACGAGUUUAUUGCAAUGGUGCCCCAUCCCUCCCCC